RNAcentral lists this ribosomal RNA (207 nucleotides) under uncultured bacterium. RNAcentral describes it as "partial 16S ribosomal RNA". It matches the Rfam family "Bacterial small subunit ribosomal RNA", at positions 568 to 774 of the family's 1533-position model. The record is from RNAcentral.
CGCGCAGGCGGCUGUACAAGUCGGCAGUGGAAGUCCAUUUUUCAAGGAUGGAAGCGCUGUUGAAACUGUACGGCUUGAGUGCAGGAGAGGUUAUCGGAAUUCCCGGUGUAGCGGUGAAAUGCGUAGAGAUCGGGAGGAACACCAGUGGCGAAGGCGGGUAACUGGACUGCAACUGACGCUGAGGCGCGAAAGUGUGGGGAGCAAACA